Oncorhynchus tshawytscha (Chinook salmon) is the source of this 1429-nucleotide long non-coding RNA. The record is from Ensembl. Lineage: Eukaryota; Metazoa; Chordata; Actinopteri; Salmoniformes; Salmonidae.
GGACUGGUUGUUGUGGAACUAAGAGGGACUGGUUGUUGUGGAACUAAGAGGGACUGGUUGUUGUGGAACUAAGAGGGACUGGUUAUUGUGGAACUAAGAGGGACUGGUUGUUGUGGAACUAAGAGGGACUGGUUGUUGUGGAACUAAGAGGGACUGGUUGUUGUGGAGUGAAGAGGGACUGGUUGUUGUGGAACUAAGAGGGACUGGUUGUUGUGGAACUAAGAGGGACUGGUUGUUGUGGAACUAAGAGGGACUGGUUGUUGUGGAACUAAGAGGGACUGGUUGUUGUGGAACUAAUAGGGACUGGUUGUUGUGGAGUUAAGAGGGACUGGUUGUUGUGGAACUAAGAGGGACUGGUUGUUGUGGAACUAAGAGGGACUGGUUGUUGUGGAACUAAGAGGGACUGGUUGCUGUGGAACUAAGAGGGACUGGUUGUUGUGGAACUAAGAGGGACUGGUUGUUGUGGAACUAAGAGGGACUGGUUGUUGUGGAACUAAGAGGGACUGGUUGCUGUGGAACUAAGAGGGACUGGUUGUUGUGGAACUAAGAGGGACUGGUUGUUGUGGAACUAAGAGGGACUGGUUGUUGUGGAACUAAGAGGGACUGGUUGUUGUGGAACUAAGAGGGACUGGUUGUUGUGGAACUAAGAGGGACUGGUUGCUGUGGAGCUAAGAGGGACCCCCCUUCCCUCCCACAGAGACACAUGUAUCUGUGAGGUCAGGGUUCUUCUUUCCUUGUAGUCAGCUACAGGUAGAUUCAAUUCAAUUCAACAGCCACUCCAUUGUUCUUCCACUGACAAAUUGUCUUCCUGCUGUACCAGAUAAACUCCACUAUUAAUCAAUGUUGCUGCUGUAUCGUAUCGACUCAUUUCAUUAAUUUUUGUUUCAUUCUACUGUUUGUAAUUAUUGUGAUGAAUAAAAAAAUGUGAUUUUGAUUAAAUAUGUUGUGGUUGAGUCUAUCAGAACCUCUUGAACAAUGCCUCUUGACUCUCACCAAGUCCCUACAGAAUAGUCAUCAGCUUGAACAACUCAAGAUUCUCCAUAGAAGCAUUGGCAGGAAAGAAACUAGGCCAUACCACUCAUAACCACUAGAGGUCAGGCUAUAACCAUGAGACUGGUGUACUACCACUCAUAACCACUAGAGGUCAGGCUAAACCUGAGACUGGUGUACUACCACUCAUAACCACUAGAGGUCAGGCUAAACCUGAGACUGGUGCUAUCACUGGAUCUGUUACAUGUUUCAUUGUGUGUGUGGGAAUGGGGGGGAUGACUGGAAAAUAGCUUUAAAACAUUUUUCUCAUGGCACAGUGUGUAGAAUAGAAGGAAAAUGUACUUUCUUUUGUUGCAUUAUUUAAACGUAUCAAUUAUCACCCAGGGGAAUUUUAUAAGGACAUUUUUUUAUUUUUGGAAUUCUUCUAAAUAUUAUCAAU